GGCCGUAUGGUGUAGUGGUUAUCACGUGUCCUUUAAUAUACAUCAAAAGUCCUGAGUUCGACCCUCAGUGUGGUCA
RNAcentral lists this transfer RNA (76 nucleotides) under Endocarpon pusillum. RNAcentral describes it as "tRNA-Sup (TTA) (tRNA-Sup-TTA-2-1)". It matches the Rfam family "tRNA". Rfam says of the family: Transfer RNA (tRNA) molecules are approximately 80 nucleotides in length. Their secondary structure includes four short double-helical elements and three loops (D, anti-codon, and T loops). Further hydrogen bonds mediate the characteristic L-shaped molecular structure. tRNAs have two regions of fundamental functional importance: the anti-codon, which is responsible for specific mRNA codon recognition, and the 3' end, to which the tRNAs corresponding amino acid is attached (by aminoacyl-tRNA synthetases). tRNAs cope with the degeneracy of the genetic code in two manners: having more than one tRNA (with a specific anti-codon) for a particular amino acid; and 'wobble' base-pairing, i.e. permitting non-standard base-pairing at the 3rd anti-codon position. The record is from RNAcentral. Lineage: Eukaryota; Fungi; Ascomycota; Eurotiomycetes; Verrucariales; Verrucariaceae.